Molecule: ribosomal RNA, 905 nt
Filed under: uncultured Bacillota bacterium
Lineage: Bacteria; Bacillati; Bacillota
Description: bacterial SSU rRNA
Rfam family: Bacterial small subunit ribosomal RNA
Source: RNAcentral
CAAGUCGAACGAUUAAAGCUCUCUUCGGAGAGUGUAUAGAGUGGCGCACGGGUGAGUAACACGUAAGUAAUCUACCUUUGAGUGGGGAAUAACAGUCGGAAACGACUGCUAAUACCGCAUAAUGCAGCGGCACCGCAAGGUGACAGUUGUUAAAGGAGCAAUUCGCUUAAAGAGGAGCUUGCGGCAGAUUAGCUUGUUGGUAAGGUAACGGCUUACCAAGGCUACGAUCUGUAACCGGUCUUAGAGGACGGUCGGUCACACUGACACUGAAUAACGGGUCAGACUCCUACGGGAGGCAGCAGUCGGGAAUUUUGGGCAAUGGGGGAAACCCUGACCCAGCAACGCCGCGUGAAGGAUGAAGUAUUUCGGUAUGUAAACUUCGAAAGAAUAGGAAGAAUUAAUGACGGUACUAUUUAUAAGGUCCGGCUAGCUACGUGCCAGCAGCCGCGGUAAUACGUAGGGACCAAGCGUUGUUCGGAUUUACUGGGCGUAAAGGGCGCGUAGGCGGUGCGGUAAGUCACUUGUGAAAUCUCUGAGCUUAACUCAGAACGGCCAAGUGAUACUGCAGUGCUAGAGUGCGGAAGGGGCAAUCGGAAUUCUUGGUGUAGCGGUGAAAUGCGUAGAUAUCAAGAGGAACACCUGAGGUGAAGACGGGUUGCUGGGCCGACACUGACGCUGGAGCGCGAAAGCCAGGGGAGCAAACGGGAUUAGAUACCCCGGUAGUCCUGGCCCUAAACGAUGAAUACUUGGUGUCUGGAGUCUUUAAUGCUCCGGGUGCCGUCGCUAACGUUUUUAGUAUUCCGCCUGGGGGAGUACGCUCGCAAGAGUGAAACUCAAAGGAAUUGACGGGGACCCGCACAAGCGGUGGAGCAUGUGGUUUAAUUCGACGCACCGCGAAGAACCUU